AACGAACGCUGGCGGCAUGCCUAACACAUGCACGUCGAACGCCUGUAGCAAUACAGGAGUGGCAGACGGGUGCAUAACACGUGGGAACCUACCCUUGGGUUCGGAAUAACCGCGGGAAACUGCGGCCAAUACCGGAUACGUCCUCUGGGAGAAAGAUUCAUCGCCCUUGGAGGGGCCCGCGUCGGAUUAGCUAGUUGGUGAGGUAACGGCUCACCAAGGCGACGAUCCGUAGCUGAUCUGAGAGGAUGAUCAGCCACACUGGAACUGAGACACGGUCCAGACUCCUACGGGAGGCAGCAGUGGGGAAUAUUGGACAAUGGGGGCAACCCUGAUCCAGCAAUGCCGCGUGGGUGAUGAAGGCCUUCGGGUUGUAAAGCCCUUUUGGCAGGGACGAUGGUGACGGUACCUGCAGAAUAAGCCCCGGCUAACUUCGUGCCAGCCGCCGCCGUAA
Molecule: ribosomal RNA, 451 nt
Filed under: uncultured bacterium
Lineage: Bacteria
Description: partial 16S ribosomal RNA
Rfam family: Bacterial small subunit ribosomal RNA
Source: RNAcentral